AAAAAUCAUGUUUAAUUAAUAUAAAUCAUUUUUAUAUUCAAAUAAGGGUAGUUCGGCCAAUUAAACCACACCCAAAAUCUGAAACAUAUCUCACUUCCGAAAAUAAAGCAACCCCUUUCUUCCAUUAUUCCAUAGAUUUUUACAGUUUUCGAAAAAUCACAAUCCGUUGCAGACAAACGAUUUAGAGAGCAAAAGAAUUUUGAAGAAGGUCGCCGGCGGUGAGUUCAUUCAGUUUUUGGAAAGAUUGGAACCGCUGAUUUCAUUUAUUCAGUUUUUUAAAAAGAUUCGAAUGUGGGUAAACCAUUGCCGAUCUUGAUUUCUAUUGCACUUUUUUGUUGUACUAUGUUGAUUACUUUUUCAUUCGAAACUCCAUCUGUCUUUUUUAUAUAAAAAAUGUGUAGAUCUAAAAUGUUUUGUUGUUUCUAAUGUUGAGAUGCACUAAAAAAUAAAGCUUCGAAAAUGACAUAUAUACUAAGCAAAAAGUCAGUCUACAUGAUGCACUAGAAUUUACUUUACUAUUUCAUUUAACUAUUUAUAUUUUACAAAUGUUUCGAAUAUUUGAAUGAAAUUACUCUGUAUUCAUUGUUUUUUUUAUUAAGUUUAAAUUAAGAAGUUGUAUAUUGAUUUCUAUACUGUAUUUGUUUUUUAUUUCGUUGGUUCUGGUAUUUGUCUUUUGAUGUCUCAAGGAUAUUCCUUUUUUUUUUUUCUGUAAUUCAUUUGCUUGUAUUUUGGGUGGUUCUUUUAUGUAAUUACCUCGAGAAUUGGCUCACAAAUUGUUUCAGAUGAUGUGUUUUUUUAUAGAUUUUCCAUCUCAUCCAUGGUCCUAGCAGCACCUAGAAGGGUUUGUGGGAAUUAAGGUUUGUAGCUGUAAUUCUCUGAAUUUUGCGAGAAAACUCAGCAAGGACAUUUAUUGUUGGAUUGCAUACUAUGGAAUAUUCUUCAAGAUGAUUAAGCAUUACAACUCAAGAGAUAAUGGGAUAAGUAGUUUGAAGGAUCGAGCAGCUUGCAAGUUAUGCUACCUACACUUUUUUCAUGUUCUUUUCCAGUUGAUUGUUUGUAUAUUGUUCAUUGAAAAGUAGUUAUUAUUCGAUAUAUAUUGUUAUAUUGUUCGAAUGUUUAGGUAUGACAUUUGAAAAUUUAAUAUUUAAUAAUUUGUCAUUAAAAAGUUUUGGUUGUUUGAAACUAGAGUGAUUUGCUGAUUGAUAAAACAAUCCUCAAGUGUGUAAUUUUGAAGUUCUAAUCUUUUUUCAAACUCAAACUCAUUAUUUGUUCAUUUAUAAAUUAAAUUCUG
RNAcentral lists this long non-coding RNA (1291 nucleotides) under Salvia miltiorrhiza (redroot sage). RNAcentral's name for it is "long non-coding RNA (SMIL_LNC005122)". Lineage: Eukaryota; Viridiplantae; Streptophyta; Magnoliopsida; Lamiales; Lamiaceae. The record is from RNAcentral.